Molecule: long non-coding RNA, 725 nt
Filed under: Chinchilla lanigera (long-tailed chinchilla)
Lineage: Eukaryota; Metazoa; Chordata; Mammalia; Rodentia; Chinchillidae
Description: lncRNA (ENSCLAG00000024346.1)
Source: RNAcentral
AUGGGCUUUACAGUUUAUUUCUUUAACAAAUAUUUAUCUAGCUUUUCAUAUCCAUCUUUCAUGCACAGACUCUGGAAGAAUUCUAAAGCUGUUUUUGGAAAGACUAAGUACAUCCGGAAAGGUAUUGUCUCACUUAUCUCUUGGAGCUGUCCCUCCUGGAAUCUCCCAGCCUCUUCUCCCAGCUGUGCCACAGCUCUCACGUUCUUGUUUUGGGCAUUUCUUGGGCAACACCCUGGAAUUUCCUUCAAAGCCCUUGUGUCCUAGACCUUUUGUUUUAUUUUGGCUUUUGUAAAGCAUCUUCUGCAGUAGCAUCCAGAGAAAGAAUAUAGGGCUUGUGAUAUUAUUCUUAGAGAACUUGUCUGAAAAUAUCUUCAUUCUAGUUUCAUAUGUCAUCAUUACUAGCUGUGGCCAGCAUUCUAAGUUGUAAACUGUGUCUUUUCCGUAUGUUCAAGGCAUUGCUGCCAGUAUGCCCAUGUAUACCCUCCAGGCGCUGUGGAGGAGCUGGAUGCCUCUUUUUUUCUAGCCCUCCCUGAUAUGACUUCUUUCCCCUUUCCAUAACCCUUGCCACCUUCAGAAUAUUUUCAGUCUUGUUAACCUGAGAGUUCAUAAUGAUGUGUCCUCAGGAGUGUCUUCUAUUUAUUUCCCAACUUGUAAUAAGCCCUGAAAUAAAAGAAAUACAUUUUUCAAUUGUAGAAAAUUUUCCUGUAUUAUUUUUCUAAUGCUUU